Molecule: long non-coding RNA, 2946 nt
Organism: Bacillus rossius redtenbacheri
Lineage: Eukaryota; Metazoa; Arthropoda; Insecta; Phasmatodea; Bacillidae
Exons: 2
Source: RefSeq, a predicted model, not a curated record
UAACUUUUAUAACUUACAUGUUUGCUAUUUAACUUCUUCCAAUCUGUGUUAUUCUGUUAAGGAUAGGACGAUGAUAGGAAAAGUAGGAAACGAAUGGGAGUGUUUCAGGUUUAAUGUGCCUCGAAAAAGUCAAAUCGAUGGUUGUUCCAAUCGAGUGGAAGAGAGAUAUAUGCGGCGCAAGCGUACAAUGAGCGUAACGGGACACAGCGUAACGGGACAAUGUGCGUAACGGGACACUUUUUCGUGCGUGCAGCCGGCGUUCAUCGAUUUAUUAGACGUCACGUCAAAAAAAUCCAACCAGUCCCGAUGCUCGUGAAAGUUAAAACCCUUUCGGUCACUGUGUCCUAUACAGAGGACGAUGUGUUCAUCUUUGUUUAAUAAUUGUAACAAAGGUUGUAUGCCUUCGUAGUCAUAUUGUCCUAUAUCAGGUAAGAUACUUUUUAAUAAGUACAGCUGCUGCACUCUGUAGCUUUACAACCAAAAUGCCAGAAAUUGAUUGAAACAGGUUUGGAAGAGACUCCAAAUUAGGAAACCGACCUGAGAACGCCAUUUUUUUUACAAUAAAUAUAAAUAAAUAAUUUUAUAAAAAAAUAUCUUUUUGAAGAAAACAAUAUAAUGAUAAUACUGUAUUAAGUAAACAAUGUCUACAAUUAGCAGUUCAUAGAUAAAUGUGCUUAUAAAGUACUGUCCUUUGUAUGGGACUGUGUGAGUAGCAUGAGGGAAAUUUUUUAUACUCUUGGGGGGCCUGUAGUGUGGGGAAGUCCUAGUUUGUAUGCAAUUAUGUUCGCUAGCAGCAGGUACGUGUAGCCCAUUUGUUAGCGACUUUGUUCACUUGUGUGAUUCUGAAUGUGAAUGCUACAACAAAGAUGGAUUUUAUAUAUCAGCCAGAUAGUCCAGCAGUGAGACACAAUUGGAAAAGAAUGAGUGCUGAAGAAAUAUUGACACUAAUUGAGAAUGGUGAUUUGUCAGACAUUGAAGAGUUUGGGGAAGAAGAGGCCGACGAAAUAAAUCAGUACCUACAAUACUGAUUUAGCAUCAGAUGUGCCCACAGCACAUUUGAGUGCUGAACCACCAGCAUUAGAGGAAGAUGAAGUUGUUAUGCAAGAAGAACCAGGUAGGCCAGUGCCUAACACUGAUCAGUCAUCCAUACUGGAAAAAAAAUCAGGUGAUCUAGCUAGACCCCUAACUGAAAAACAAUUUCAAAAAGCAUAUUUUGAUGAGCAAUGCCUCACAAAAAAAAAAAAGAUAUAACGUGGUAAAAAAAUGCUACAUAUGAAUCACCACACUAUAAGCCCUUUAUGUCACACAUUGCAGAAAGUUUUUAACUUCCCAGUCCACUGACAUUGUUUCAAGAAUAUUUUACUGAUGAUCUUGUGAAUUUUGCUGUAAAUAACAAAUUUAUAUGCUAUUCAGAAUAAUGUUGUAAAAUUUCCACCAGUAACAGCAGAAUAAAUUCACAAUUUUUUAGGGAUCCAAAUACUAAUGGGAAUUCUAAGCUACCCUAGGGUACGCAUGUAUUUGGAGGCAAGAUUUAGAGUACCACUGAUUUCUGAAAACAUGCCUGUAAACCGUUUCUAUAAAAUAAGGCAAAACUUUCAUGUUACUGACAACUGGAGAAAAGACCCAGAUGAUAAAGAUAGUUUUUGGAAAGUCAGGCCAAUAUUUGAGUCUAUAAGGUCUAGGUGCCUGGAGAGUGACAUUGAAGAAAGGAUCUCAAUUGAUGAACAAAUGGUGCCGUUCAAAGGGACUGAAUGUAAAACAAUUUAUCCGGAACAAACUGACGAGACGGGGAUUUAAAGUAUUUGUUUUGUGUGGGGAGAGCGGGCAAAUGUAUGAUUUUAUAAUCUAUCAAGGCUCUACAACUGAACUAAAGAGACAAUACUUACAGUUUGGUCUUGGCCCUGCUGUUGUCAUGCAGCUCUGUGAAAGAAUUUCAUCACAGAACAGCUUUUUGUUUUUCGAUAAUUUUUUUAGCUCUUAUUGGUUGUUUCAAUGGCUGCAGCAGAGGAACAUACAUGCUGUAGGAACAGUUCGAACCGAACGAUUUUCAAACCCUCCUCUGGAAUCUGAUAAAGAAAUAAAGAAGAAACAAACUCGAGGUUUCAUGCAGGAAACAGUAAGCACUGACAGGAUUUACUAACAAAAUGGUAUGAUAAUUCGUGUGUUGUAGUUGGGUCUAACUUUGUUGGAAUUGGGGGAAAAGAUGUGUGCCGCCAGUGGGAUAAAAAAAACAAAGAGUACAUCCAUGUUCAGAGGCCAGAAUGUGUCAAGUUAUACAGUGCCAGCAUGGGGGGUGUUGAUAAAUAUGAUUUCCUCAUAUCACUUUACAGAACUUUCAUAAGAUCCAAGAAAUAGACUUUAUGACUUCUGACCCAUGCAAUUUGUAAAAUAUAGUCAACAAAAUUUUUGCUGUAUGAAGAUAAAGAUAUUUUUCAUGGAGUCUAGUAAUAAAAUAAUGCAAAAUAAAUUCUAUUUUGAACAUAUUGAAUUUAAAAUUAGUACUAAUGUAACAUCCGUGACAACCGGAAUGGCUGCAUGGCUAUCACAAAUUCGUGGCUCACAUACAGGAAGGUUGCCAGCAGUUUGGGAGUGCCGGAAAAAAAUGUAAUGGAUCUUAUUCAUUUUCGCCAGCAAGUAGGGGAAUCUCUAGUUUUGGCAGGCAAGACAGUAGACAAGAAGGGAGUCGCCCCUCUUCAUCACAGCAAGUCCCUUCAGUCCCAAAGAAAAGGGCUGCUGUUAUAAGGCCCAUCGUUGAUGUCGGAUAUGAUGGCUUCAAACAUUUACCCGAGUUCAGUCAGCAGAAGAAUACUGCCAGGUGCAAGUGUCCUGGCUGUACAAGAAAAACCUUCAUCAGGUGUACGAAGUGCAAUGUUCAUUUGUGCAUAACAUGGGGAAAAAAACUGCUUUAAAUAAUUUCACACAAAUUGAACUAUGAAUGUGUGAGAU